Non-coding RNA from Heterocephalus glaber (naked mole-rat), 308 nucleotides. The record is from RefSeq and is a predicted model, not a curated record. Lineage: Eukaryota; Metazoa; Chordata; Mammalia; Rodentia; Bathyergidae.
UGGUCUUUCACCUCUCUGAGCAUCUCUCAGAUAACUGAGAAGUUAAUGGAAGCAUCAGGUACUUCUGGGGCUGACACCCAAGAGUUUGCCUUUAAUCUCAGAGGAGAGUUUGGACUUGAACUUUUCAGCCAUGCUGGAACUGCUUUCCUCUCCCUGGUGUCUGGCGUGAGCUUCUGAGAGCUGGAUGGGAAGACAAGCUGAGUGAUGCAUAUCACGCUGGACCCUCAGCCGCCCUCCCUCUCAGAGCUUAGCCCUUGCCCACAGAAUCAGCUGGACUCUUCAUUCUCACCUCUGGGAACGUGGCCUGC